Molecule: ribosomal RNA, 492 nt
Filed under: uncultured bacterium
Lineage: Bacteria
Description: partial 16S ribosomal RNA
Rfam family: Bacterial small subunit ribosomal RNA
Source: RNAcentral
AGUGAACGCUGGCGGUAGGCCUAACACAUGCAAGUCGAACGGCAGCACGGUAAGAGCUUGCUCUUACGGGUGGCGAGUGGCGGACGGGUGAGGAAUACAUCGGAAUCUACUUUUUCGUGGGGGAUAACGUAGGGAAACUUACGCUAAUACCGCAUACGACCUACGGGUGAAAGCAGGGGAUCUUCGGACCUUGCGCGAUUGAAUGAGCCGAUGUCGGAUUAGCUAGUUGGCGGGGUAAAGGCCCACCAAGGCGACGAUCUGUAGCUGGUCUGAGAGGAUGAUCAGCCACACUGGAACUGAGACACGGUCCAGACUCCUACGGGAGGCAGCAGUGGGGAAUAUUGGACAAAGGGCGCAAGCCUGAUCCAGCCAUACCGCGUGGGUGAAGAAGGCCUUCGGGUUGUAAAGCCCUUUUGUUGGGAAAGAAAAGCAGCAGGUUAAUACCCCGCUGUUCUGACGGUACCCAAAGAAUAAGCACCGGCUAACUUCGUG